GAUGAACGCUGGCGGCGUGCUUAACACAUGCAAGUCGAACGGAAAGGCUCCUGCUUGCAGGGGUACUCGAGUGGCGAACGGGUGAGUAACACGUGGGUGAUCUGCCCUGCACUUCGGGAUAAGCCUGGGAAACUGGGUCUAAUACCGGAUAGGACGAUGGUUUGGAUGCCAUUGUGGAAAGUUUUUCGGUGUGGGAUGAGCUCGCGGCCUAUCAGCUUGUUGGUGGGGUAAUGGCCUACCAAGGCGUCGACGGGAAGCCGGCCUGAGAGGGUGUACGGCCACAUUGGGACUGAGAUACGGCCCAGACUCCUACGGGAGGCAGCAGUGGGGAAUAUUGCACAAUGGGCGCAAGCCUGAUGCAGCGACGCCGCGUGGGGGAUGACGGCCUUCGGGUUGUAAACUCCUUUCGCUAGGGACGAAGCGCAAGUGACGGUACCUGGAGAAGAAGCACCGGCUAACUACGU
Molecule: ribosomal RNA, 464 nt
Filed under: uncultured bacterium
Lineage: Bacteria
Description: partial 16S ribosomal RNA
Rfam family: Bacterial small subunit ribosomal RNA
Source: RNAcentral